Molecule: non-coding RNA, 131 nt
Organism: Pelobates cultripes (western spadefoot toad)
Lineage: Eukaryota; Metazoa; Chordata; Amphibia; Anura; Pelobatidae
Source: the annotation of a GenBank genome assembly
ACGCAGGAUAAGUUACAAUAUAGCUGUUAAGUGCUGUAUUGUCGUUCCCCCUGCAAAUAUUAAAUUGCUUCCUACUAUCCCUGUCUGUUUUGAUUUUUCUCCGGCAGUCAGGGACGCUUGGUCUCAAACAA